UACAGAGGUCCCAAGCGUUGUUCGGAUUCACUGGGCGUAAAGGGUGCGUAGGCGGCCGGGUAAGUCUGAUGUGAAAUCCCGCAGCUUAACUGCGGAACUGCAUCGGAUACUCUCCGGCUAGAGGAAUGGAGGGGAGACUGGAAUUCUCGGUGUAGCAGUGAAAUGCGUAGAUAUCUGGAGGAACACCGGUGGCGAAGGCGGCGUCCUGGACCAAUACUGACACUGAGGAGCGAAAGCCAGGGGAGCAAACGGG
This 253-nucleotide ribosomal RNA is filed under the name uncultured bacterium. RNAcentral describes it as "partial 16S ribosomal RNA". It matches the Rfam family "Bacterial small subunit ribosomal RNA", at positions 524 to 776 of the family's 1533-position model. The record is from RNAcentral.